Molecule: ribosomal RNA, 253 nt
Filed under: uncultured bacterium
Lineage: Bacteria
Description: partial 16S ribosomal RNA
Rfam family: Bacterial small subunit ribosomal RNA
Source: RNAcentral
UACGUAGGGUGCAAGCGUUGUCCGGAAUUAUUGGGCGUAAAGAGCGCGUAGGCGGUCCGAUAAGUCGGCUGUGAAAGUCAGGGGCUCAACCCUUGGAAGCCGGCCGAUACUGUCGGACUAGAGUCCGGAAGAGGCGAGUGGAAUUCCCGGUGUAGCGGUGAAAUGCGCAGAUAUCGGGAGGAACACCAAUGGCGAAGGCAGCUCGCUGGGACGGUACUGACGCUGAGGCGCGAAAGCGUGGGGAGCAAACAGG